This is an RNA transcript of Melospiza georgiana, 1329 nucleotides long. RefSeq lists it as uncharacterized. NCBI's taxonomy places the organism in Eukaryota, Metazoa, Chordata, Aves, Passeriformes, Passerellidae. The transcript has 3 exons. The record is from RefSeq and is a predicted model, not a curated record.
UCUCCUGGUAUUUAUUCCACCGGUUAUAACAGUACCAUGGCACGGGGACAGCACAGGAGGGGAGGGACACUCAACCGAGCACGGCACGACUACAGCACGACGAGCGGGAGGACGGGGAGAUUUCCCCACAUGGCUUUGUCCUUCUCCUGGCAGGAACAAGGACAGGAUCCCACCCCAGGAGAGGGACGGCUCUGCUCCGGGCAAGGGCUGCUGCGGGCUCAGCUCAGCACCGGCGAGGGCUUUUGCUCCUCUCUGGUGUCAAUUCAGGCUUCAGCACCCCCCUUCCCACAGGGAUCGGAUGGCAGGUCCUUCCCGGCUGGCUCCUCCAGAGGGGCCCUCAAGGGCACGGGGCUGCUGUUCCUGGCAGGGAUGGGAGGCUGUUUCUCGGGGGAUGGGGAUGGGGAUGCAGCGAGGGGGGUGCUCCACAGCCUGCCUCGUCCUUGCGAGGCAAAUCCGAGCCUCCCGCUCGCUCCUGGGAGGCUGAGUGGAGGCAGAGCUGCAGCUCAGUGGGGCCACACCGGCAAGGUCAGUCACACCCCGAGGUCUGUCACAUCCCAAGGUCAAUCACACUGCAAGGUCAGUCACACCCCGAGGUCUGUCACACCCUAAGGUCUGUCACACUCUGAGGUCAGUCACACUGCAGGGUCAGUCACACUGCAAGGUCAAUCACACUGCAAGGUCAAUCACACUCUGAGGUCAGUCACACCCCAAGGUCUGUCACACUGAAAGGUCAAUCCCACUGCAAGGUCAGUCACACCCCGAGGUCAGUCACACUCUGAGGUCAGUCACACUGCAAGGUCAGUGACACUGCAAGGUUUGUCACACUGAAAGGUCAAUCACACCCCAAGGUCUGUCACACUGAAAGGUCAAUCACACUGCAAGGUCAAUCAUGCCCCAAGGUCAGUCACACUGCAAGGUCAGUCACACUCUGAGGUCAAUCACACUGCAGGGUCAGUGACACUGCAAGGUCUGUCACACUGAAAGGUCAGUGACACUGCGAGGUCAGUGACACUGCAAGGUCAGUGACACCCCAAGGUUUGUCACACUGAAAGGUCAAUCACACCCCAAGGUCUGUCACACUGAAAGGUCAAUCACACUGCAAGGUCAAUCGUGCCCCAAGGUCUGUCACACUGAAAGGUCAGUCACACCCCAAGGUCUGUCACACUGCAAGGUCAGUCACACCCCAAGGUUUGUCACACUGCAAGGUCAGUGACACUGCAAGGUCAGUGACACCACAAGGUCUGUCACACUGAAAGGUCUGUCACACUGAAAGGUCAAUCGUGCCCCAAGGUCAGUCACACUGCAGGGUCAGUCACACCCCGAGGUCUG